Molecule: transfer RNA, 71 nt
Filed under: Cryptopsaras couesii (triplewart seadevil)
Lineage: Eukaryota; Metazoa; Chordata; Actinopteri; Lophiiformes; Ceratiidae
Description: tRNA-Gln
Rfam family: tRNA
About the family: Transfer RNA (tRNA) molecules are approximately 80 nucleotides in length. Their secondary structure includes four short double-helical elements and three loops (D, anti-codon, and T loops).
Source: RNAcentral
UAGGAGGUGGUAUAGUGGAAGUACAAGGAGUUUUGGUCUCCUAGGGUCGGGUUCGAAUCCCGUCCUUCUAC